GUUUGCACUUGUCGGGGAAGGGUGAGAACCUUCGAUUAAGGUUCGACUCGAGCGAAAGCGAGAGAACGUUGCCAACGGCAACGGCCCGAAGGGUG
RNAcentral lists this small RNA (95 nucleotides) under Citrobacter freundii. RNAcentral's name for it is "partial RtT sRNA". It matches the Rfam family "RtT RNA", at positions 1 to 93 of the family's 130-position model. From Rfam's summary of the family: This family represents a bacterial cis-regulatory element known as RtT RNA. The exact function of RtT is unknown although it is thought that it may be involved in changing the cellular response in relation to amino acid starvation. The record is from RNAcentral. Lineage: Bacteria; Pseudomonadati; Pseudomonadota; Gammaproteobacteria; Enterobacterales; Enterobacteriaceae.